This 746-nucleotide ribosomal RNA is filed under the name uncultured bacterium. RNAcentral describes it as "bacterial SSU rRNA". It matches the Rfam family "Bacterial small subunit ribosomal RNA", at positions 8 to 796 of the family's 1533-position model. The record is from RNAcentral.
AGAGUUUGAUCAUGGCUCAGGAUGAACGCUGGCGGCGUGCCUAAUACAUGCAAGUCGAGCGGUAACACUUUGGGUGACGAGCGGCGGACGGCUGAGUAACACGUAGGAACGUACCCCAAACUGAGGGAUAAGCACCGGAAACGGUGUCUAAUACCGCAUGUGCUCUUCGGAGUAAAGCUUCGGCGGUUUGGGAACGGCCUGCGCAUGAUUAGCUUGUUGGUGAGGUAAAAGCUCACCAAGGCGACGAUCAUUAGCUGGUCUGAGAGGAUGAUCAGCCAGACUGGGACUGAGAACGGCCCAGACUCCUACGGGAGGCAGCAGUAGGGAAUUUUCCACAAUGGACGAAAGUCUGAUGGAGCAACGCCGCGUGCAGGAUGAAGGCCUUCGGGUCGUAAACUGCUUUUAUCUGUGACGAUUAUGACGGUAGCAGAUGAAUAAGGAUCGGCUAACUCCGUGCCAGCAGCCGCGGUCAUACGGAGGAUCCAAGCGUUAUCCGGAAUUACUGGGCGUAAAGAGUUGCGUAGGUGGCACUGUAAGUUGGUAGUGAAAGCGUUCGGCUCAACCGGAUACACAUUAUCAAAACUGCAGAGCUAGAGGAUGAGAGAGGUACCUGGAAUUCCUAGUGUAGGAGUGAAAUCCGUAGAUAUUAGGAGGAACACCGAUGGCGUAGGCAGGGUACUGGCUCAUUCCUGACACUAAGGCACGAAAGCGUGGGGAGCGAACGGGAUUAGAUACCCCAGUAGUCC